GACAUAAGUUGGACACCCCCAAAGCCUAAGGUGUGAGUGUUGGGAUUCAAAUGCACAACGGAAUUGAAAUUUAAAAAUUUUUAACAUGCAACCAUAAUAAAAAAUAUGUGAUCCGAGUCCCAAUCCCAAAAUCAUCUUGAAGCAUUCAAUCAAACAAGAACAUGAAUCACAUAGCAUAUACAUAAAAGAGAGAUUGAAAAUGUUAUACCAAAUAGGA
This 217-nucleotide long non-coding RNA is filed under the name Elaeis guineensis (African oil palm). Its description in RNAcentral is "long non-coding RNA (EGUI_LNC074701)". The record is from RNAcentral. Lineage: Eukaryota; Viridiplantae; Streptophyta; Magnoliopsida; Arecales; Arecaceae.